This 253-nucleotide ribosomal RNA is filed under the name uncultured bacterium. RNAcentral's name for it is "partial 16S ribosomal RNA". It matches the Rfam family "Bacterial small subunit ribosomal RNA", at positions 524 to 776 of the family's 1533-position model. The record is from RNAcentral.
UACAGAGGUCCCAAGCGUUGUUCGGAUUUACUGGGCGUAAAGGGUGCGUAGGUGGCAGGGUAAGUUCGGUGUGAAAGCUUCGAGCUCAACUCGGAAAUGGCAUUGAAAACUAUCCUGCUUGAGGGUCGGAGGGGAGACUGGAAUUCUCGGUGUAGCAGUGAAAUGCGUAGAUAUCGAGAGGAACACCAGUGGCGAAGGCGGGUCUCUGGACGACUCCUGACACUGAGGCACGAAAGCUAGGGGAGCAAACAGG